RNAcentral lists this ribosomal RNA (468 nucleotides) under uncultured bacterium. RNAcentral's name for it is "partial 16S ribosomal RNA". It matches the Rfam family "Bacterial small subunit ribosomal RNA", at positions 28 to 507 of the family's 1533-position model. The record is from RNAcentral.
GACGAACGCUGGCGGCGUGCUUAACACAUGCAAGUCGAACGGAAAGGCCCUGCUUUUGUGGGGUGCUCGAGUGGCGAAAGGGUGAGUAACACGUGAGUAACCUGCCCUUGACUUUGGGAUAACUUCAGGAAACUGGGGCUAAUACCGGAUAGGAGCUCCUGCUGCAUGGUGGGGGUUGGAAAAUUUCGGCGGUUGGGGAUGGACUCGCGGCUUAUCAGCUUGUUGGUGAGGUAGUGGCUUAACAAGGCUUUGACGGGUAGCCGGCCUGAGAGGGUGACCGGCCACAUUGGGACUGAGAUACGGCCCAGACUCCUACGGGAGGCAGCAGUGGGGAAUAGUGCACGAUGGGCGGAAGCCUGAUGCAGCAACGCCGCGUGCGGGAUGACGGCCUUCGGGUUGUAAACCGCUUUCGCCUGUGACGAAGCGUGAGUGACGGUAAUGGGUAAAGAAGCAACGGCUAACUACGUG